GAUGAACGCUAGCGAUAGGCUUAACACAUGCAAGUCGAGGGGCAGCACAAGGUAGCUUGCUAUCUGGGUGGCGACCGGCGCACGGGUGCGUAACGCGUAUGCAACUUGCCCUAUACAGGAGGAUAACCCGUCGAAAGACGGACUAAUACUGCGUAUGCUCACAACUUGGCAUCAAGUGGUGAGGAAAGAAAUUCGGUAUAGGAUAGGCAUGCGUCCCAUUAGCUUGUUGGUGAGGUAACGGCUCACCAAGGCAACGAUGGGUAGGGGAACUGAGAGGUUUAUCCCCCACACUGGUACUGAGACACGGACCAGACUCCUACGGGAGGCAGCAGUGAGGAAUAGUGGGCAAGGGGCGCGAGCCUGAACCAGCCAAGUCGCGUGAAGGAUGACUGUCUUAUGGAUUGUAAACUUCUUUUAUACGGGAAUAACAAGAGUCACGGGUGACUCCCUGCAUGUACCGUAUGAAUAAGCAUCGGCUAACUCCGUG
Molecule: ribosomal RNA, 487 nt
Filed under: uncultured bacterium
Lineage: Bacteria
Description: partial 16S ribosomal RNA
Rfam family: Bacterial small subunit ribosomal RNA
Source: RNAcentral